Molecule: long non-coding RNA, 797 nt
Filed under: Vitis vinifera (wine grape)
Lineage: Eukaryota; Viridiplantae; Streptophyta; Magnoliopsida; Vitales; Vitaceae
Description: long non-coding RNA (VVIN_LNC006002)
Source: RNAcentral
UAAUGAUGAUGGAUGCUUCCUCUUUCUGCUUUUAGAUCUGCCCCUCCUCCCAACCCAAAAAUAAAAAGCUGUGGAUACGUGUUUUCAAGUCGUUACUUGAAGCACCAUACUGAAUCAUAAAUCAUUCCGUUUUUUCAUAAUGAACAGGCAACCCCUGACUAGCAACAUAUGGGGUGCAACUGCUACAACCCUCCCAAAGUAUUGGCUCAGGAUACUGGUCGAUCAAAUUACAAAGUGGUGAAGCCAGAUUCAACACUCCCAGAAGAGAUAUGGCGCACAUCAGAGGAGCCAAUCAGUUUCUCACUAAGGAAUCAAUCAGCGACUCACAGGACAACCUCACAUGUUAGUUUCCCACAGGACAAACAUGUUUGGUAGUUGAAAAGCAGGGCUUCUUUCUCCCUAGGCCUAGUUUGGCCUCACAUCAAGCCUGAUUCUCACUAAUCACCCUCAAAAUCCUGCUUAGUCAAUGUCACAAAUAAUAAAAAUUCUCCAUUCCACAGCACGGACAAAAAGAAAAAAAAAAUCAAUUGAUUGGAUUAGUAUAACUAAAUCAUACCCCUUAUUAUUCUAAAUGCAAUGAAAAAGAACUAAAAUAGCUUAUCAGCAAUUAACAUUCACAUGAAUUGGAAUUUCUCAAAUAAAGAAAGUAGCCUUUUGCCUUUCAAAGUGUGACUGACAACAUAGUAGAAUGGUUGCCUCGUAUGAAUAUUACCCUCAGUUAUCGACCAGCAGGGUGUAGACGCAGUCAGAGGAUCCGGGUGGAGAAAGAGAGAAUAGGGAUAAAGCCAAAAACGUCA